GCGGGAAUAGCUCAGUUGGUAGAGCACGACCUUGCCAAGGUCGGGGUCGC
RNAcentral lists this transfer RNA (50 nucleotides) under Escherichia coli. RNAcentral's name for it is "tRNA-Gly". It matches the Rfam family "tRNA", at positions 1 to 48 of the family's 71-position model. From Rfam's summary of the family: Transfer RNA (tRNA) molecules are approximately 80 nucleotides in length. Their secondary structure includes four short double-helical elements and three loops (D, anti-codon, and T loops). Lineage: Bacteria; Pseudomonadati; Pseudomonadota; Gammaproteobacteria; Enterobacterales; Enterobacteriaceae. The record is from RNAcentral.